AUUUAUAUAGUUUAAUAAACAUUACAUUUUCAUUGUAAAAUUGUACAAUGUACUAUAAAUA
This 61-nucleotide transfer RNA is filed under the name Agonita chinensis. Its description in RNAcentral is "tRNA-Glu". Lineage: Eukaryota; Metazoa; Arthropoda; Insecta; Coleoptera; Chrysomelidae. The record is from RNAcentral.